RNAcentral lists this unclassified non-coding RNA (181 nucleotides) under uncultured fungus. RNAcentral describes it as "sequence contains ITS1, 5.8S rRNA gene". The record is from RNAcentral. Lineage: Eukaryota; Fungi.
GCAGUCCGAAGAGGCGCGGGAAACCCCGCGGGGCUCGCAACGCUCCGUCCCCGUGCCGCUUUGACAAACCCAACCCUUGAAGACCGCACCUCUUGAUUGCCUCGGCGGGCCUGCCCGUCGGGGGACGCACUUCAAACCACGGGUGGAACGGCGUAGUCUGAGCGAUUGCGAUAACAAGUCA